RNAcentral lists this unclassified non-coding RNA (383 nucleotides) under uncultured fungus. RNAcentral's name for it is "sequence contains ITS1". The stretch from base 1 to 105 matches the Rfam family "5.8S ribosomal RNA", at positions 50 to 154 of the family's 154-position model. Lineage: Eukaryota; Fungi. The record is from RNAcentral.
GAAAUGCGAUACGUAGUGUGAAUUGCAGAAUUCCGUGAAUCAUCGAAUCUUUGAACGCAUAUUGCGCUCGAGACUUCGGUCGAGAGCAUGCCUGUCUCAGCGUCGGCUCACCCCCUCGCCCUCUCCUUUCCCUCACCGGAAGGGCUGCCAGGAGCGGAUGUGGCCGUCUCGGAUUCCUCACCGAAACCGGGUCGGCUGAAGCAAAGGGCUUGCGGCAGGACCCUCAAACAGGGCGCCAGCAUGGUAGGUGGCUUUCAGCUGCAUGCCGCUGUCGUCCGAUUGAGACCGUCCGACCAACCGCGCGGCCAAGCAGGAACUUGUCCAAUUCAUUUUGGCCAACAACCUUCGACCUGAGAUCAGACAAGACCACCCGCUGAACUUAA